UAGACGCGCUAGCUUCAGGUGUUAGUGUUCUUACGGACGUGGGGGUUCAAGUCCCCCCCCUCGCACCAACGAGGCGAUAUCAAA
This 84-nucleotide transfer RNA is filed under the name Salmonella enterica subsp. enterica serovar Typhimurium str. LT2. Its description in RNAcentral is "tRNA-Leu". Lineage: Bacteria; Pseudomonadati; Pseudomonadota; Gammaproteobacteria; Enterobacterales; Enterobacteriaceae. RNAcentral also lists the same sequence under 1 other name. The record is from RNAcentral.